Molecule: transfer RNA, 72 nt
Filed under: Phycisphaerae bacterium
Lineage: Bacteria; Pseudomonadati; Planctomycetota; Phycisphaerae
Description: tRNA-Gly
Rfam family: tRNA
About the family: Transfer RNA (tRNA) molecules are approximately 80 nucleotides in length. Their secondary structure includes four short double-helical elements and three loops (D, anti-codon, and T loops).
Source: RNAcentral
GCGGGCGUAGUUCAGCGGUAGAACGUCGCGUUCCCAACGCGAAAGUCGAGGGUUCGAUCCCCUUCGCCCGCU